Acidobacteriales bacterium 13_2_20CM_2_55_5 is the source of this 46-nucleotide non-coding RNA. The record is from Rfam. NCBI's taxonomy places the organism in Bacteria, Pseudomonadati, Acidobacteriota, Terriglobia, Terriglobales.
CCCAGGGCUGGCGCCGUGGGCUGCAUUCUUUCGCCGCUUCGCGGCU